This 218-nucleotide small RNA is filed under the name Firmicutes bacterium CAG:56. Its description in RNAcentral is "Clostridiales-1 RNA". It matches the Rfam family "Clostridiales-1 RNA". The record is from Rfam by way of RNAcentral. Lineage: Bacteria; Bacillati; Bacillota.
UGAUGUCAGGGUCAAAAGGUCUAAAUCCACAUGAGCUUGCUCAUAGGUGGAUUUAGACCUUGGGACCCACCCCGAUAUGAGCAUAAAAGUGGGAUGAUAAUCCCACGAUAUGCGAAUACUUGGGUGCUAUGUGCCAGUGGCACAUGUUUAGCACCGACCGAAGCGGAGCGUAGAAAGGAUUGUGGGAGUGCAACGCACGGAACAAUCCGUAGGCAUCA